GUGAGGAAUAUUGGUCAAUGGGCGGGAGCCUGAACCAGCCAAGUCGCGUGAAGGAAGAAGGAUCUAUGGUUCGUAAACUUCUUUUGCAGGGGAAUAAAGUGCAGGACGUGUCCUGUUUUGUAUGUACUGUACGAAUAAGGAUCGGCUAACUCCGUGCCAGCAGCCGCGGUAAUACGGAGGAUCCGAGCGUUAUCCGGAUUUAUUGGGUUUAAAGGGUGCGUAGGUGGAUUGAUAAGUCAGCGGUGAAAGUUUGCAGCUUAACUGUAAAAUUGCCGUUGAAACUGUCGGUCUUGAGUGCAAAUGAGGUAGGCGGAAUGUGUUGUGUAGCGGUGAAAUGCUUAGAUAUAACACAGAACUCCGAUUGCGAAGGCAGCUUACUGGGAUGCAACUGACACUGAUGCACGAAAGCGUGGGUAUCAAACAGGAUUAGAAACCCUUGUAGUCC
RNAcentral lists this ribosomal RNA (445 nucleotides) under uncultured bacterium. RNAcentral's name for it is "partial 16S ribosomal RNA". It matches the Rfam family "Bacterial small subunit ribosomal RNA", at positions 354 to 796 of the family's 1533-position model. The record is from RNAcentral.